Molecule: unclassified non-coding RNA, 590 nt
Filed under: Fusarium oxysporum
Lineage: Eukaryota; Fungi; Ascomycota; Sordariomycetes; Hypocreales; Nectriaceae
Description: partial miscellaneous RNA
Source: RNAcentral
AUUUCCCCAAUGGGUUCUCCGGAUUUCUGGAGACUUGUAGGGGUUGUGGGAUUUUUGAUGUGUCGUCUCCGGACGGGCGGUGCAGGGUAGUCGAGUUAGACUUGGUGGAAUUACGUCGAUAGGAGUUCCGUCGAGUCUGUGUCGGCUGUGUGUUGGACGGUGCAGGGUAGGCUGCUUGGACAUGGUCGGUUCGAGGAUCGAUUCGAGGGCCGGCGCCUGUCGAUGAUGUGUGAUGUAUGCGGUCUAGGGUAGGCUGGUUUGUCUUGGUUCAAUUUGAUGUCGGCUCCCGUGCAGGCCAGAGUGAGGUAGGUACAGGGUAGGCAGCUUAUAUUUGGUCGAUCUGGAGGUCGAUUCUCCGGUUGGCGGAUCUGACACUGUCGAAACGAGAUGCGAGCGGUGUAGGGUAGGCUAGUUUCGUCCUCGCCAGGUUGCGACUUGGACGAGAUAUGUGGUCUAGGGUAGGCUCUAGGGUAAGUAGAAUUCGAGUUUCGUCGCCGAUAGUUUUCUGUGGGUGUAUGGUAGGUGCAGGGUAGGCAAAUCUCUCUCCGGCCAGUACUUGUCUGGUGGUCGUGAGUCGAUUUUUUUGUUUU